CAGUCACACGAGUUUGAUCAUGGCUCAGAACGAACGCUGGCGGCAGGCCUAACACAUGCAAGUCGAGCGAACCCUUCGGGGUUAGCGGCGGACGGGUUAGUAACGCGUGGGAAUAUACCCUUUGGUACGGAAUAGCCUCGGGAAACUGAGAGUAAUACCGUAUGUGCCCUUCGGGGGAAAGAUUUAUCGCCAAAGGAUUAGCCCGCGUUGGAUUAGAUAGUUGGUGGGGUAAUGGCCUACCAAGUCUACGAUCCAUAGCUGGUUUGAGAGGAUGAUCAGCAACACUGGGACUGAGACACGGCCCAGACUCCUACGGGAGGCAGCAGUGGGGAAUCUUAGACAAUGGGCGCAAGCCUGAUCUAGCCAUGCCGCGUGGACGAUGAAGGCCUUAGGGUUGUAAAGUCCUUUCAGAUGGGAAGAUAAUGACGGUACCAUCAGAAGAAGCCCCGGCUAACUCCGUG
Molecule: ribosomal RNA, 461 nt
Filed under: uncultured bacterium
Lineage: Bacteria
Description: bacterial SSU rRNA
Rfam family: Bacterial small subunit ribosomal RNA
Source: RNAcentral